This 271-nucleotide ribosomal RNA is filed under the name Heterosigma akashiwo. Its description in RNAcentral is "partial Bacterial large subunit ribosomal RNA". It matches the Rfam family "Bacterial large subunit ribosomal RNA", at positions 424 to 692 of the family's 2925-position model. The record is from RNAcentral. Lineage: Eukaryota; Raphidophyceae; Chattonellales; Chattonellaceae.
ACGUGAAAUCCUGUCUGAAGAUGGGGGGACCACCCUCCAAGCCUAAGUACUCCUCAGCGACCGAUAGCGAACCAGUACCGUGAGGGAAAGGUGAAAAGAACCCCGACAAGGGGAGUGAAAGAGUCCCUGAAACCGGAUGCUUACAAACAGUAGGAGCCCAAGGUUCGUCCUGGGUGACUGCGUACCUUUUGUAUAAUGGGUCAGCGACUUAAAGUUACGAGCAAGCUUAAGCCGAUAGGUGUAGGCGCAGCGAAAGCGAGUCUGAACAGGG